GGGGAAUAUUGGGCAAUGGGGGAAACCCUGACCCAGCAACGCCGCGUGAAGGAAGAAGGCCUUCGGGUUGUAAACUUCUUUUACCAGGGACGAAGGACGUGACGGUACCUGGAGAAAAAGCAACGGCUAACUACGUGCCAGCAGCCGCGGUAAUACGUAGGUUGCAAGCGUUGUCCGGAUUUACUGGGUGUAAAGGGCGUGUAGGCGGAGAUGCAAGUUGGGAGUGAAAUCCAUGGGCUCAACCCAUGAACUGCUCUCAAAACUGUAUCCCUUGAGUAUCGGAGAGGCAAGCGGAAUUCCUAGUGUAGCGGUGAAAUGCGUAGAUAUUAGGAGGAACACCAGUGGCGAAGGCGGCUUGCUGGACGACAACUGACGCUGAGGCGCGAAAGCGUGGGGAGCAAACAGGAUUAGAUACCCUGGUAGUCCACGCUGUAAACGAUGAAUACUAGGUGUGGGAGGACUGACCCCUUCCGUGCCGCAGUUAACACAAUAAGUAUUCCACCUGGGGAGUACGACCGCAAGGUUGAAACUCAAAGGAAUUGACGGGGGCCCGCACAAGCAGUGGAUUAUGUGGUUUAAUUCGACGCAACGCGAAGAACCUUACCAGGAUUUGACAUCCAACUAACGAAGUAGAGAUACAUCAGGUACCCUUCGGGGGAAGUUGAGACAGGUGGUGCAUGGUUGUCGUCAGCUCGCGUCGUGAGAUGUUGGGUUAAGUCCCGCAACGAGCGCAACCCCUAUUGUUAGUUGCUACGAAAGAGCACUCUAGCGAGACUGCCGUUGACAAAACGGAGGAAGGCGGGGACGACGUCAAAUCAUCAUGCCCCUUAUGAUUUGGGCUACACACGUGCUACAAUGGCAGUUACAAAGAGAAGCAACCCCGUGAGGGUGAGCAAACCUCAAAAAGGCUGUCUCAGUUCGGAUUGUAGUCUGCAACUCGACUACAUGAAGCUGGAAUCGCUAGUAAUCGCAGAUCAGAAUGCUGCGGUGAAUACGUUCCCG
This 1002-nucleotide ribosomal RNA is filed under the name uncultured bacterium. RNAcentral describes it as "bacterial SSU rRNA". It matches the Rfam family "Bacterial small subunit ribosomal RNA", at positions 356 to 1376 of the family's 1533-position model. The record is from RNAcentral.